Brachypodium distachyon (stiff brome) is the source of this 714-nucleotide RNA transcript. RefSeq lists it as uncharacterized. The record is from RefSeq and is a predicted model, not a curated record. NCBI's taxonomy places the organism in Eukaryota, Viridiplantae, Streptophyta, Magnoliopsida, Poales, Poaceae. The transcript is spliced from 4 exons.
UCGUAUCAAAACAGAAAUAGAGGGAGUAACAAGUAAGACUACUUGUAUUUGCGUUCAAAAUACAAAUUGAGGGAGUAACACGUUCCAAAACUAUACACGAAUACAAGUAGGAGUUUGUAUCCUUGAUCCUUCUCCGAAUCCAAAACUACACACGUUCCUUUUAUCCGGGAGGGCCAGAGCUUACUUUUUUUCCUCAAGCUCCAAAUUUCGUCGACAGAAAAGAAAGCAGAAAUCGAAGCAGGCUCGGUUCCAGGCAGGGCAAUCCAAGGUCAGGUUGUUAGACGAGGAACAGGAGAUGAGAGCUGAAACAGAGAAUGGCGAAGCUCGGAGGUGCCUCAGCAGAAGCAGCGGCUAUGAAGCGGGGCAGGUCAAGGUUGAUGUGCCUGCGAGACGCCGCCACCAAAAUCCCGCACCAGGAAACUGUCGCUGCCUUCCCGGGCCGCCACCGCCGACUCAUCUACCCGCGCAACACCUCCCUGUGGUGACCGCUCUCGAUACGCGUCGGCGCCGGAUUAGAUCAUCGUGCAAGAGAUGAGCAAAGGGGUCCAGGGUUGAUCGGCGCUAUACACCGCCGCACGGUUCCUCGUGCGCUGCGCCACCGCGUGCUCUGACGCCAGCCACGGCCGGCGAGCGGCGUGGACUGGGUGCCAUGUCCGUGGAUGCGGCUGCUAGCAUCGGCCCCGAGAUCAUUUUGAUUGAAUGUUCAAUUAUAUU